This 912-nucleotide ribosomal RNA is filed under the name uncultured archaeon. RNAcentral describes it as "bacterial SSU rRNA". It matches the Rfam family "Archaeal small subunit ribosomal RNA", at positions 1 to 922 of the family's 1478-position model. The record is from RNAcentral.
UUCCGGUUGAUCCUGCCGGAGGAUACUGCUAUUCGGAUUCGACUAAGCCAUGCAAGUUGAGAGUCUUCGGGACUCGACGUACUGCUCAGUAAUAUAUGGUUAACCUACCCUAAAGUCAGGGAUAAUCUCGAGAAAUUGAGGCUAAUACCUGAUAGAUAUUCUGGUCUGGAAUGAUAGAAUAUCCAAAGAUCCGUCGCUUUAGGAUGGGACUGUACGCUAUCAGUCUGUUGGGGGCGUAAUGUACCCCCAAAACUAUAACGGCUAUGGGCCAUGAGAGUGGGAGCCCAGAGAUGGAUUCUGAGACAUGAAUCCAGGUCCUACGGGACGCAGCAGGUGCGAAACCUUCACUAUGCAUUAACGUGCGAUGAGGGAGUCUGGAGUGCUUAUGCUUUGCAUAAGCUUUUUUUAAGUAGAAAUAACUUGGAGAAUAAGGGGUGGGUAAGACAAGUGCCAGCCGCCGCGGUAAUACUUGCGCCCCGAGUGGUAUCCGGUAUUAGUUGGUCUAAAGCGUCCGUAGCCGGUUUUGUUAGUCCUUAGUGAAAUCUACUGGAAAACUGGUAGGCUUGCUGGGGAUACUGCAAGACUUGGGAUCGGGAGAGGGCAGAGGUACUGCUGGGGAAGGGGUAAAAUCCUAUAAUCCCAGUGGGACCACCUGUGGCGAAGGCGUCUGCCUAGAACGAGUCCGACGGUGAGGGACGAAACCUAGGGUAGCGAUCGGGAUUAGAUACCCCGGUAGUCCUAGGCGUAAACGAUGCCCACUUGGUGUUACAAACCUUACGAGGGUUUGUAGUGCCGGAGCGUAGGUGUUAAGUGGGCCACCUGGGGAGUACGACCGCAAGGUUGAAACUUAAGGGAAUUGGCGGGGGAGCACACAAGGAGUGGAGGCUGCGGUUCAAUUGGAUCAACGCCGGG